GACUCGGUGGCGGAUGGCCUCCCGCACUCACUUCGUGCUGGCGAUCACAUGCAGCGGGAGGUGCCUGUUCGACCCAGGCCCGAGUCA
Non-coding RNA from Mycena latifolia, 87 nucleotides. The record is from the annotation of a GenBank genome assembly. NCBI's taxonomy places the organism in Eukaryota, Fungi, Basidiomycota, Agaricomycetes, Agaricales, Mycenaceae.